UGGGAAGUACGCAAAUAGGUAAAGCGACUUGCCUUUGAAGCAAGCGGUUGAAGGUUCGAUUCCUUCCUUCCCAG
This 74-nucleotide transfer RNA is filed under the name Oscillatoria sp. FACHB-1406. It matches the Rfam family "tRNA". From Rfam's summary of the family: Transfer RNA (tRNA) molecules are approximately 80 nucleotides in length. Their secondary structure includes four short double-helical elements and three loops (D, anti-codon, and T loops). Lineage: Bacteria; Bacillati; Cyanobacteriota; Cyanophyceae; Oscillatoriales; Oscillatoriaceae. The record is from Rfam by way of RNAcentral.